RNAcentral lists this unclassified non-coding RNA (261 nucleotides) under fungal sp. Its description in RNAcentral is "partial internal transcribed spacer region". The stretch from base 1 to 46 matches the Rfam family "Eukaryotic small subunit ribosomal RNA", at positions 1786 to 1831 of the family's 1831-position model. Lineage: Eukaryota; Fungi. The record is from RNAcentral.
AAGUCGUAACAAGGUAACCGUAGGUGAACCUGCGGUUGGAUCAUUAAAAAUGUUGAAGUGAGGGCGAGAUUCUAGGCUGGCUGAUUUAUUUCAGCCGCCUAGUAUAUGUCUACCCAAACUUUUCACCCUUUGUGCACUAAAAUUGUAUUUUGGGCGGUUGAGGUAAAACUUUCCGCCCAGCAAUGUUAAACACCAUUUGAAACUUGUCUGAAAUUAUUAUAUAAAUAGUAACAACUUUUGACAACGGAUCUCUUGGCUCUC